NNNNNNUAGAAAGCGCCAGAACUGGCCUAAAGCAAAGCAACACUAUGUAUGCACUACUCAUGCGAUAGGGCCAGUUGACGAGGAAGAGGUUAAUCGAGAAGUCUUUGGGACAGUCCUGAAGCAUUCGGCGGGUGCCUCUCGGCAGGCCAUAGUCGUUAUGGAAUCCACAAAACCGGCGGGCGACCUCCGGGACAAAUGGAUGCCAGCGUGGCGG
This 214-nucleotide non-coding RNA is filed under the name Actinomycetota bacterium. Its description in RNAcentral is "Actinobacteria bacterium GlcN6P sequence". It matches the Rfam family "glmS glucosamine-6-phosphate activated ribozyme aptamer". From Rfam's summary of the family: This entry contains a glucosamine-6-phosphate activated ribozyme that is found in the mRNA for GlmS. Lineage: Bacteria; Bacillati; Actinomycetota. The record is from RNAcentral.